GACGAACGCUGGCGGCGUGCUUAACACAUGCAAGUCGAACGGAAAGGCCCUGCUUGCAGGGUACUCGAGUGGCGAACGGGUGAGUAACACGUGGGUGAUCUGCCCUGCACUUCGGGAUAAGCCUGUGCAACUGGGUGUAAUACCGGACAGGAGACAUUUUGAGCGUGAUGGUUGGAAAGUUUUUUCGGUGUAGGAUGAGUUUGCUGGCUAACUGCUUGCUGGUGGGGUUAUGGCGUACCAAAGCGGCGUCGGGUAGCCGGCCUGGGGGGGUGGACCGCCACCUUGGGACCUACGUGCGGCCCCGGCAGCGACUGGACGGCGAUGGGCGGAAUAUUGACCAAUCGGCGCCAGCCUGGUGCAGCGACGCCGCGUGGCGGAUGACUGCCUUAGGGUUGUAGACUACUUUCGCUAGGGACGAAGCUCUUUGUGACGGUACCUAGAUAAGAAGCACCGGCUAACUACGUG
RNAcentral lists this ribosomal RNA (465 nucleotides) under uncultured bacterium. Its description in RNAcentral is "partial 16S ribosomal RNA". It matches the Rfam family "Bacterial small subunit ribosomal RNA", at positions 28 to 507 of the family's 1533-position model. The record is from RNAcentral.